GGAAGUAAAGGUCGUAACAAGGUUUCCGUAGGUGAACCUGCGGAAGGAUCAUUAAAGAAUCGCCCCGUUUUUUAUAAAUGGGUUCUAUUCCCAAACCGUGUAUACAUACCUUUGUUGCUUUGGCAGGCCGCCUCCGGGCGCCGGCUCCGGCUGAUAGUGCCUGCCAGAGGACCCAAACUCUGUGUUUAGUGAUGUCUGAGUACUAUAUAAUAGUUAAAACUUUCAACAACGGAUCUCUUGGUUCUG
Molecule: unclassified non-coding RNA, 246 nt
Filed under: plant metagenome
Description: partial contains small subunit ribosomal RNA, internal transcribed spacer 1, and 5.8S ribosomal RNA
Rfam family: Eukaryotic small subunit ribosomal RNA (bases 1-54)
Source: RNAcentral